GCAGUCUCUCGGUGACAGAUGACGUAAUGGAACCCUUUGAUGGCAACUACAGCUCCCAUAACACCCAGCGGCGUAUUUCCGGCUCAUCAUUUCCGUAAAUAAACGGUCGCCAGCCGGCCGUUUCGGGCUGACGAAAAUUGAACAUCUAGAGCAACUGUCCAAUUGAGUACAGAGAGUGUGCUGUUCACAUUAGACCUGUGGGAUGAAGGAUCCUUGGCUCUAUUUCAGAGAUAAGUAAUGGACUAAUUCCUAGCGUCUUGGCCUGUUGCUUAUUUCUCUAUCAAAAUUCUAAUGUAGAUUCUGUUCUCACUUGGUGGUUUGUGAGAUUUUGCUGUACACAAAUGGAUUGACAUCUUCCUGUCAUGAUACCAAUCGUUAAAUGUAAUAUUUUUCAUGUAGAAGUAACUUCGUAUGGUUAACGACCAAUUACCCUUUAACAUCACCAAGCUACAUAAACAGUAAUGUAUAUCAACAGGGAACAUUUAAUUUUAUAAUGCAAAACUUCACACCAAACCUUAGAAGGGAAUUUCUGAGUUGAGAGUUUAAUUAGCCAAAUGCACGGUUAUCAGUAGCUGCAAAAGAUGCGGCACAUUACCAUAGCAGUUGGCAUAGAGCUUUACAGAGCCAGUGAUCAAGCUUCAGUUCCCUCUGCUGUCUGUAAGGGGUUUGUACAUUCUCCCCGUGACCACCUGGGUUUCCUCCGGGUGCUCCGGUUUUCUCCUCCAUUCCAAAGACAUACAGGUUAGUGUCAGUAAGUUGUUAACAUGCAAUCUUGGCACUGGAAGUAUGGUGACACUUAUAGGUUGCACUCAGCACAUUUGAUGCAAACAAUACAUUUCACUUUGUUCUUUGAUGUACGCAUGACAAAUAAUUCUAAUUUUUAAAAAAUUUAAAGAUACAGUACAGAAUAAGUUUUUCAAGCCACUCCCUAGCAACCCACUGAUUUAAUCCUAGCCUAAUCAUGACAAUUUUCAAUGACCAAUUAACCCACUAAAAGCAUAUCUGUGAACUAUGGGAGGAAAAAUCCACACAUUUCAUGGGGUUGAUGUACAACUUCUUACAGAGGACAUCAGGAUUGAACUCCAAUGCCCUGAUUUGUAAUAGCGUUCUACUCACCACUACACCAUCCUGGCACCCAAUCUUUAAAAGAAAUCUGGAUGAGCUCGAUGAUAGUGUUAGAAGGACACAAGAAUUGUAGGGCUGAAGGAGAUUAUGGCAAUAGUAACCUUACACAGAUGGGCAGUCACUUAGCUGACUAUCUUUUCACUGAAGAAAUGAUGCCUUCCUACUGAAUAUUUGCUGCAUUUUCUCUCUGUCUUUCAGAUUUCCACAAUCCGUGGUACUUUGCAUGUAUACAUGAGAAGAUUCUUGAUAAGUGUACUUCCAUCUCAAUGAGAAAAGAAGCAGUGCUGGAUCCAGGGGAAUGAAGUCCGGUUCAAAGUCAAAAAGCUGUGUGGAGUAUAGUUGAAGCACUUCAAACAUGCCAAAGGAGCCAGAGAAACCACAAGAAGGUGAUGGGGAAGAAAAACCCAUGAGUACACAUCAUAGCAGGCAGGAUGAUUCAGAAGCUGAAAAUGUACAUCAUCAAAUAAGCCAAGACACUGAAAUCUCCCACAGAGAAGGCACUGUUCGUUCUGUUUCUCCUAGCCUGGCAUCUGUAGAGGAGCUAAUUGAGACAGAAAAGGGCAUUUAUAACAUGGCUCUAGCCCAUGAGAUAGUAGUUAAUGAAAGCUUUGAAAUCAAAAAGCGAGACCUACCAGAGAACAGUUUUCAGAAGACAAUUGAAGGAAUUGUGAAGAAAGCUUUUUGGGAUUGUUUAGAAGCUCAGCUAAAUGAGGAUCCACCAGUUUACGACCAUGCAAUCAAGCUUCUAGGUGAGAUUAAAGAGACUCUGCUCUCAUUCUUGCUGCCUGGUCAUACCAGGCUGAGGAACCAAAUCAAUGAAGUUCUGGAUCUGGACCUCAUAAAACAGGAGGCUGAGAACGGAGCAUUGAACAUCCCAAAGCUGGCUGAAUUCAUCAUCGGGAUGAUGGGAACACUCUGCGCCCCUAUCAGGGAUGAUGACAUCAAGCUCCUCAGAGAUGUCUCUGACGUGGUGCCACUAUUCAGGGAGAUUUUUGCUGUGCUGGACUUAAUGAAGCUCGACAUGGUGAAUGUUACCAUUAGCCGCAGUCGACCACACUUAAUGAAGCAGUCUGUUGAUUACGAGCGAAAAUGUUUCCAGGAAUUCCUUGAUAAGCAACGUGGUUCACUGGAGAUCACAACGGAGUGGCUGCAAGAGGCCGCGAGUGAAGUUCUGGGUUCUGAUACUUCUGUGCUUGAUGGAGCAACAGCUGCCGCAACCGAAGUUUCGGCUUUGGGCCCUUCCUUGGUAUUAAAUCAUGCCUAUGUUAAAUUACUGAAAUGGGAUCACGGCAGCAGACUCUUCCCGGAGACUGUACUGAUGGACGAGUCCCGGUUCAUGGAGAUGCAGAGGGAGUUGAAUCAGCUGACCAUUAUUGCAGCUGCCCUGCUAGUUAUAUACAACAUGACUGGUGCUGCCAUUUCAGGACUCUCGGGAUUUCUGGACAGACUGAAGGGGAUCAUUAAAGUCUUACUGACAGGCAUGCAUACGCAUUCCUUCCACCUUGCUGAGGCCAUGACCAGUAUGAGUGAGCAGAUUUGUGUGGAAGUGAACCACUGCUUAACUGAACAUGGUUUCUCACUACUACCUACUGAAAAAGAGAUGGUAUUGAAAGGUCAAAUCCAGGCUGUAGCUAGUCCGGAUAACUCUGUUCGCAAAUUAAUAGAUUCACGAAUUCAGACUUUUCUGAAGAUGCAUCUCAUGUCAAGUAAUCCAAAAUCCGUUUCAGUCCCUGGAGGGCUUAGCCCCAUUAGAACAGAACUGGAAAAGAUAACAGUUAAAUUUCUUCACCUGGUGAACUAUAACAAGAUGGUCUUCAGUCCUUAUUAUGACACUAUCCUGGCUAAAGUGCUCCAGAGAAACGAGACACAGCUUCCUGGAAUGGGUGAGAAGGAGCAAUGAUCAUGAAAUCUAAAGCAUUGCACACUGAGCAACAAGAUCUUCCCAUUUGUGUGUCUCUCCACAGCUGAUUUCAUUCUCUUUAUGGUUUGGGAAGGGAAAGUUGUGAAGAAAUAGCUGAUUUUGGGGUAAUCUGAGGCUUGGGGUGAGGGGGAGUAUCCAGUUGAGCUUUGCUGUUUGUGUAAAAUAGGGAUGGUGUUUUUAAGUCGAGAUCCAAUUCUCUUCUGAGAUACUCAUUUUAAAUAUUUCUUCUCCAAAGCUUUUCUCCAUUCCCCUCCUCCAUCCCAAAAACUCAGAUUUAAAACACCUUGAAACUUUCACUAAUUAGAGGCCCAGUGUGACUAAUUGGUAAAUAAUUAAUAGAAAGAGCAGCCCUUGGCUUUGGUUAGUUUAGACAGAUGCCAUGGUAUGGUGAUGCAUACCAGACGGUGCAAGAGGCUCACUGCACAUCUCUGGGCAGUGUUUGUGUCUUUGGUGAAUACUGGAUCUAGCUGGUGUGGUCUGAUAGUAGGAACCCCCAUCUCUGAUGAGCUCUUGCAUAAUAAAUGAAGCACCUCUUUUUGAUGCAUCUAUUUAAUUGAACUGUAAUCAACAGAGAACCUCCCUGUGGCAACAAGAAUGUCUUUGAUAAAACAACUCUUAUUUCUAGAGUGUAACUACAAGCCUUCAUUCCACCCUGUAUUCAGGUCAAGAGUUAUCACUCUUUCAUUAACUUAUCUAGAUUUCCAACCUCAUUAUCCUUGGCACAAAUCCAAUCCAGAAAACCUUCAAAUAUGAUAUUGUGAAAAUAGAAAGCCCACUUACACUGCAGUUAUGCCUGAGUUGGAAGCAUAAAAUGGAUAUUCAUGUACCAUUCAACCUAGUUUGUUGCUUAAAUCCAUAGGGAAUAUUUUAAUCCUUCUCUUUUGUGGUAGUUCAAGAUAUACUAUAUAAAAAAAAGGUACCAGAUGUCUUUUCUCUUAUAUUUAUAUAUAUAUGAAUGUCUAACAAGCCGACACAAAAAUGGAUUAUUUUUGGGAGCACUGUAGAAACGGUUUAAAAUGAGGAUAUUGUUUUGAACAGCACACACAAAAUGCUGGUGGAACACAGCAGGCCAGGCAGCACCUAUAAGCACAGUCGACAGUGCUUCUCCUUAUAGAUGCUGCCGGGCCUGCUGUGUUCCACCAGCAUUUUGUGUGUGUUGUUUGAAUUUCCAGCAUCUGCAGAUUUCCUCGUAUAUUGUUUCGAUUUGCUUUUAUGCACAUUACUAAUUACUGAAUAGUCAUCUUUAUUUAAAUGAAAGCUUUUGAAACAUAGUGGCUCUAAACUCAGUAUUUUCCUUACUGCUGGUUGUGAUCUAGUAUCAUUGCUUGCUUGCUGAGCAUUCAUUAUGCUUGCCUUUUGUGUACUGUUACAGAGACUGGCAAUGGAAACAGCAUAUAUUGUACUGACUACAAGUUGUACUUUACCAGUGUAAAUACUAGUAACUUAUUUUGUAAAACUUGACAAUGGUCACUGAUUUUUUUUUCCAGCUGCAUGUUUCCAGAAUUUUGCAAUGUACAGUAGUAAUAAUGUAUAGUAUUUAAAGAAAAAAUGUAUUCUGGUGUAAUAAAGGUACAUUGAGUGGCAGUAGUAGUUUUAUAAAUAAACAACAGUAGAUAUGAAUGUGUUUAUACAGGUGAUGCACUGUGGCUCUGACCACAAGUGCUUGUGUUGAUGACUGUACAUUUAGGAAUGCCUUGGUCAAGGUGGGUGGGGUUGAAGUCAACCUCCUGUUAUUAGAGAGCACAUUAGAAUUACUUUGAAAGAGACAUCUUUUAAAAAAAGGGUUUAAUGUAGGGUGGUGUAUCACCAUAAAAGACCAGGCAGGGCUCUACUAUGGUUCAGACAUGUCCUGCUAUUCACUGAUAGUUAACUACAUCCUCACCCAUUUCUAAUUCAUCUCUAUCUUCUCUAAAGCCCCAACAUCUAUUGCCCUCUGUCCAGCUCUCAGCAGAGACUGUAUCACCCUUUGUAAAAUGCCUGAUGCUAACAGCCAAAAAUUCAGCUCAAAAAUUUAGCUCAUGACACCUAAUGGAAGCCCAGCAUUGCACAGGUCUGUCUGUCAUUAGGCCAAAUAAACUUGGUUUUAGAUGUAAAACAUUGACCUGCCUGGCCGUGAACUAUCCGUGACGGAAGUUGGAAGGACUGCGUCAAUCUGCAGCACUUUCAUCCGAUCCAUCUCUGAGCAAUGAUAGUGUUGCUUGUGGCAAUGAAUAACCCAGAGGCAAGAGAAUGGAAAACCUUUUGAACUGACUUUAUACUAACUACUUCAGUUCAACUUCAGAUCAUGACUAUUUCAGCCAAUAUAAAGUUUUGACUAUAAGGUGAAGCUAAUCCUUAGACUGUGGUAACUGAUUUUCAUGUAUUACAUUGAGAAGUGAGAGUAUUAGUGCAUGAAGAAGUGGUGAGUUGGAAACCCAUUCUUGAUUUUAGAGGUUAAACACUUGCAUGCCUGUUGAUCAAUGACUCUGAUUUCCAGCAAAAUAUUUCAAGCACAGUGUACGUUUUCUACACUAAAUCAAGGAUGAAUUAUAAUCUACAAAUGGACAUUAGAUGUUGACAGUGGAAAAGUGCUUUUCAAAAUGCUGGGUUAUCAAAGAGGAUUUUUUUUUCUUUGGCACAUUUAAGAUCUCAAGCCUUCUUUAAAAUAAUUAGUUCAGAACUAAAACCUAAUUGUGAGUUACCAAUUAAUUCCAUUACCCAUUUUCCAGCAGCCUUCUGUUUUUUAUAGUAUAUAUUAAUUACGUUUUUAACUGUUCCUAUUGAAUCUGUUUUCACAAACUAACAAUUGUUUUUGGAAAAAAAAUCUACAAUGAAUUGCAGAAACACAGGUUGUAGGCUUCUGACAAAUGACAGGGUGCUGAGUCAUCUUUCCAUUGUGCCUGGUCUGGCAAAGCAGUAAACCUGUGCAGCUCCUGACAUUCACUUCUACAACCAGUCCUAAUUCUAAGUGAAUGGAACACAACCUGUAAGCUGAGGAAUCAAAUGGUUCCUUGUUUCUGGCAGAAGAAAUCAAUGAUCAGGUCACUUUGGGAUCCCAGGAACACCGUACAACACAGAUGGAAAUGUUUUCUCACCCUCAGAGUCAAAACUGGACACCAAUGAUAUGUACCUUUAUACAGGCUGCGGCCAUCAGCAAAACCAACUCAUCAGCACACCUCUGAGGUAAUUAGGAAUAAGUGAUUAUUUAACACAUUUAAUUACUAAAAACUGCUGUGGGUUCACUCUAGGUGAAAAAAAUAAUACUUGCCAUGUCUAGCUUUUUUUAAAUCCCCAGUUUUCAGUACCAGGUUUAAUAUCACAAAUUAUGGCUGCAGUGCAAUACAUUAAAAAAAACUAUAAAUUACUAUAAUAUAAGAAAGCUCAUCUGUGUCACUACUUCUUUAGAACACUGAAGAAGUUUGGCAUGUUCCCUCUGACCUGCACCAAUUUUUAAUUGAUGUAUCACAGAAAGAAUCCUAUCACAACCUAGAAUGGCAAUUGCUCUGCCUACAACCACAAGGAACUGCAGAAACUUGUGGACACAUCUCGGCACAUCAUGGAGCCUUCCCUCCAUGGAUUUCUUGCUGCCUUGGUAAAACAAUCAAAAUACUCAAUCUCCCCUUCAAUCCUGAACCUUGUCCUCAGCCCCUACCAUUGGGCGGAAGAUACAAAAGUCGAAAAGCACAGACUACCAGGCUUAAGGACAGUGUAAGAGCAAUGUAUCUAUUUUCUGAAUUUUGUGUUACGCUUUCAUUAUGGGUAAUUUAUCAUGUGGGUUGAGCGUGGUAUAAGUGAAGAGUAUAUUUUUGUCACGCUUUGUCUUAGGUUGGUUUAGGUUAGAGCAGGGGAUAGGUGGGGAGUAUGGUUUUUUUUGUUGACUGCUAACACCUAAAUGUUAAUUGAUUUAAUACGCUAAGAUUGUUUAAAAACACUUAAGUAUGUUUAGAUGGCUUAUUUUGUUCCAUCAUUAGUUUUAGUUUCAUUAGUGUAUUGUUACAAGGUUGUUCAUCUUUGCUGGUUUCUUUAUAAAGGACUGAGCAUACUUUCUUCGACUUAGAACUUUGUUACUCUUGGAGCACAUCAUAGUGUCAAACCCCAUGCUUAGUCUCUGAGCAGUUUUGGUUUGUUUUUGUAACCGCUACAGACAGCUUCUGUCUUUCUGUUUUAAGACACUUGAACAAUAAAACGAACUGUUCACCUCA
Molecule: RNA transcript, 7227 nt
Organism: Hypanus sabinus (Atlantic stingray)
Lineage: Eukaryota; Metazoa; Chordata; Chondrichthyes; Myliobatiformes; Dasyatidae
Gene: tcp11l1
Gene name: t-complex 11, testis-specific-like 1
Exons: 12
Source: RefSeq, a predicted model, not a curated record